GGCGAAAGCCUGAUCCAGCAAUGCCGCGUGCAGGAUGAAGGCCUUCGGGUUGUAAACUGCUUUUGUACGGAACGAAAAGCUUCGGGUUAAUACCCUGGAGCCAUGACGGUACCGUAAGAAUAAGCACCGGCUAACUACGUGCCAGCAGCCGCGGUAAUACGUAGGGUGCAAGCGUUAAUCGGAAUUACUGGGCGUAAAGCGUGCGCAGGCGGUUUUGUAAGACAGAGGUGAAAUCCCCGGGCUCAACCUGGGAACUGCCUUUGUGGCUGCAAGGCUAGAGUACGGCAGAGGGGGAUGGAAUUCCGCGUGUAGCAGUGAAAUGCGUAGAUAUGCGGAGGAACACCGAUGGCGAAGGCAAUCCCCUGGGCCUGUACUGACGCUCAUGCACGAAAGCGUGGGGAGCAAACAGGAUUAGAUACCCUGGUAGUCCACGCCCUAAACGAUGUCAACUGGUUGUUGGGUCUUAACUGACUCAGUAACGAAGCUAACGCGUGAAGUUGACCGCC
This 506-nucleotide ribosomal RNA is filed under the name uncultured bacterium. Its description in RNAcentral is "bacterial SSU rRNA". It matches the Rfam family "Bacterial small subunit ribosomal RNA", at positions 374 to 873 of the family's 1533-position model. The record is from RNAcentral.